Molecule: ribosomal RNA, 279 nt
Filed under: uncultured bacterium
Lineage: Bacteria
Description: partial 16S ribosomal RNA
Rfam family: Bacterial small subunit ribosomal RNA
Source: RNAcentral
UGCCAGCCGCCGCGGUAAUACGGAGGAUCCAAGCGUUAUCCGGAAUCAUUGGGUUUAAAGGGUCCGCAGGCGGUCAAUUAAGUCAGAGGUGAAAUCCCAUCGCUCAACGAUGGAACUGCCAUUGAUACUGGUUAGCUUGAGUUUGGUUGAGGUAAGCGGAAUGGAUAGGGUAGCGGUGAAAUGCAUAGAUAUUAUCCAGAACACCGAUUGCGAAGGCAGUCUACUACGUAUAUACUGACGCUGAGGGACGAAAGCGUGGGGAGCGAACAGGAUUAGAUA